RNAcentral lists this transfer RNA (51 nucleotides) under Diploderma flaviceps. RNAcentral's name for it is "tRNA-Cys". The record is from RNAcentral. Lineage: Eukaryota; Metazoa; Chordata; Lepidosauria; Squamata; Agamidae.
AGACCCAGGAACGAAGUUCUUCUACAAAUUUGCAAUUUGUCUUGCUGGGCC